This is a non-coding RNA of Acanthosepion pharaonis, 111 nucleotides long. Lineage: Eukaryota; Metazoa; Mollusca; Cephalopoda; Sepiida; Sepiidae. The record is from the annotation of a GenBank genome assembly.
CAGCCACAUCAAAUUGAAAUACUGGUUCCCGUACGACCACCGGAGUUAAACAACUUUGAGCCUGUUCAGUACCGAGAUGGGUGACCGCUUCGGAAUACAAGAUACUGUAAG